RNAcentral lists this long non-coding RNA (465 nucleotides) under Crocodylus porosus (Australian saltwater crocodile). Its description in RNAcentral is "lncRNA (ENSCPRG00005012323.1)". The record is from RNAcentral. Lineage: Eukaryota; Metazoa; Chordata; Crocodylia; Crocodylidae.
UUCCAUCUGCAGACUCCAUUUUGACAUUACUCCAGUCCUUCUUUUUCCUAAGUAACUAUUAUUUUGUUGUUUUCUGUUUUCUUCCUAUAGCACUCAACUGGUUUGCAGCCUCAAUGACUUUUCAGUGUGUUCUUAUAAAUUCUCUCUCCAUCUGCUUCAUUCUCAAUGGAUAAGCAAAAGCACCUUGGGGUCCAAUCCUGUGAGUGCUGAAUCCCUUCAAUUCCCAGUGACAUCAAUGAGCGCUGCAGGAAGGAUUCAGCACCUUGAAUGAUCUUGAACGUCUGUAUGGUUAUGGUGCAUCAGCUGAAUAUACUGUCAGUACUGGCGGUACUUCUUACAUCCCUGAGACACAAGACCCCAGGAGUGGAGACUCUCUCCCAAAUCCUUAGGUCCUCUGUGCCAGGAGCAGUGUGUACAGCUCAGCUGGUUUGCAGACGUGUUUUUUUAGACAUCCUUGACACAUAG